UAAUAGCUAAGAACAGGAACUGGUUUCUUGAGAUGGAAUCUACUCCUGGUGAAGAUGCUAUGAA
RNAcentral lists this microRNA precursor (64 nucleotides) under Marmota monax (woodchuck). The record is from RNAcentral. Lineage: Eukaryota; Metazoa; Chordata; Mammalia; Rodentia; Sciuridae.